RNAcentral lists this ribosomal RNA (610 nucleotides) under uncultured ciliate. RNAcentral's name for it is "SSU rRNA". It matches the Rfam family "Eukaryotic small subunit ribosomal RNA", at positions 326 to 950 of the family's 1831-position model. Lineage: Eukaryota; Ciliophora. The record is from RNAcentral.
UGGUAGUGUAUUGGACAACCAUGGCAGUUACGGGUAACGGAGAAUUAGGGUUCGGUUCCGGAGAGGGAGCCUGAGAAACGGCUACCACAUCUAAGGAAGGCAGCAGGCGCGUAAAUUACCCAAUCCUGAUUCAGGGAGGUAGUGACAAGAAAUAACAACCUGGGGGACCUUCGGUCCUUACGGGAUUGCAAUGAGAACAAUUUAAAAGACUUAACGAGGAACAAUUGGAGGGCAAGUCUGGUGCCAGCAGCCGCGGUAAUUCCAGCUCCAAUAGCGUAUAUUAAAGUUGUUGCAGUUAAAAAGCUCGUAGUUGAACUUCUGCGUACCUUCAGUUCUGGCUCCGGUCAAGCUGAUGCGUGCGCAUCCGCUUGCAAACCCGGACCGGCCUUCACUGGUCGACCGGGGGAGUAAGCCCUUUACUUUGAAAAAAUUAGAGUGUUUCAGGCAGGCAAUGGCUCGAAUACAUUAGCAUGGAAUAAUGGAAUAGGACUUUUGUCCAUUUGGUUGGUUAUUGGACAUGAGUAAUGAUUAAAAGGGACAGUUGGGGGCAUUAGUAUUUAAUUGUCAGAGGUGAAAUUCUUGGAUUUAUUAAAGACUAACUUAUGCGAAA